GACGAACGCUGGCGGCGUGCUUCAUACAUGCAAGUCGAACGAGAAUUCACCUUCGGGUGGAGGAAAGUGGCGGACGGGUGAGUAAUGUGUAGAGAAUCUACCCUAGAGAGGGGGACAACAGCUGGAAACGGUUGCUAAUACCCCAUAUGAGGUAACUUGAAAUAGUUAUCUUGAAAACUCCGGUGCUCUGGGAUGAGUCUGCAUCUGAUUAGCUAGUUGGGGGUGUAAUGGACCACCAAGGCGACGAUCAGUAGCUGGUUUGAGAGGAUGAUCAGCCACAAUGGGACUGAGACACGGCCCAU
Molecule: ribosomal RNA, 302 nt
Filed under: uncultured bacterium
Lineage: Bacteria
Description: bacterial SSU rRNA
Rfam family: Bacterial small subunit ribosomal RNA
Source: RNAcentral